This is an RNA transcript of Camponotus floridanus (Florida carpenter ant), 1047 nucleotides long. RefSeq lists it as uncharacterized. The record is from RefSeq and is a predicted model, not a curated record. Lineage: Eukaryota; Metazoa; Arthropoda; Insecta; Hymenoptera; Formicidae. The transcript is spliced from 5 exons.
AAAUAAUCGAAGACUGGAAAGCAAGAAAAUCCUGCUAUUGGAUAGUAAUAUUAAAUCAGAAUAUACCACAGGAACAAUAUUCCAAUCGAGUUGUUGCUUUGAAUCAACAGACUCGUACCUUGUUGUCUAGUUUAGGAGCAUGGCAACAUAUAAAGGCAGUACGAUAUUGUCCAGUACGAUCGAUCCAGUAGGUAUGGGACGCAAUCGGACGCUAUGAUAACGUUCAAGGAGGAUCUUGUCUGAGGAAUACAAUUGGCAUACAUAGUUGAAAAUGAUCUAGUGUUGCAUGCUGUCAACAUGCAACUUUCUCAGACAACUUUCUCAGAAAGAGAAUGUGACUGUGAUUCACGAAUCUAAGAUCACCGAUGUAAAACUCCUCAAGAAAUUAACCGAAUUUACCUCUAUAAAGAUGGAAUCAGAUAAACGGUACACAGCUGGAUUACUGGUGCAUGUCGUUAGUAAUUCAACUAUGCGAAAAAAGAUGUAUAUGUCCUAUCUAAACUGGCAGCACGAUUUUUGCAAUUCUCAAACUCUCCAAGGUAAUAUUAUCUUUAAAAGUUGCUCGUUGAUAUUUGAAUUUCUUGAGAAAUUGUAAUAUUCCUCAAUCAAUUUCAGUCUACGGAGAACAUCGCCACUUGGCAGAGGUUUCUUCUAAUCGGACUUAUUAUCACGUUGCUUGAGCAAGCCAUGUCAUAAAUUGUGUUGGCGAUUCGCUGAGAAAUUAUUGACCAAAAAAUCGAAGAAUCUUAUGAUUCUAUCAGUUCGUUUUGUUCGUAACAACCGAGAGAGACAAAAAACCGUUAAAAAUUUUGGAAGAGGAAUAUAAGCAAUGACUAUCUAAAGAACGGUAUCGUGAGCAGGAUGCAGGCGUUUCACUAACUGCUUGUAAAUCUGUCCCUCUAGACUGAAUUGCCUUUGUAGUAUGAAUCACGGCAUACAAUCACGGUGUUGAAGGGGGAAGAAAAUUUUCAAUAUUAAGAGUGAUCUCGAUUGAAGGAAUAUAGCUAAAUAGAUCAUGUAACACGCGAAUCAAAUCUCAAUGAAAAU